GACUUGGAAUGGUGCAAACACAAUUCAAAGAACAUGAAUACCUUGAGCUCUGUUACCUGCUUCCAUCUUCACAGGAAGAAGCUAUUCUGGGAACUUGAAAGCAGAAUAAUCACAAGUCGGGGAGCCUGGGGACACUGCCACAGUGCCUGAAUGGGAGACAGCCAGGAAAGAAGAUUGUGGAAAUGGGGAAGAUCAGAUAUGGACCUGCAGGAGGCCUGGACUAACAUGGGUAUGGUAGGCCUACUCACUGUGGUGAGUAAGCCCAAUCACCUGAGGAUCACUUUGGAGAUUUGAGGGGCCAGAGUCUGUUUACCAGCUGAUUGCCCAGUAUGACUUGCUGGGAGGCAGGAUUGAGAGCUCUGAGCCUCACAUCUAGCAGAUUGCUACACUUCUCCUGCCUUCCUGCCACAGGGUGUUUACUGUGGGAUAAGUGCUGGAAUCACUAAGGCCAGUAGGCAAGCAUGCUGGAUCCCCUUGACUAGGUACACUAAUCAGUGUUGUUUAUUCUUAUUCUUUUCUUAUAGUUAUUUGUGGGAUAGUUGACUUUAAUUUUAUUUAUCUGAUUUGUUUUAGUGUUACUGCAGUGACAACAGAGUUGUCCCCCUCUGCGGUACUGAUGAUUAAGUCCUUGAGAGAGGCUACUUACAGACAUUCAAAUGAAACUGGAAGAAAGUCUUCCCAACAGGU
Long non-coding RNA from Perognathus longimembris pacificus (Pacific pocket mouse), 687 nucleotides. RefSeq lists it as uncharacterized. Lineage: Eukaryota; Metazoa; Chordata; Mammalia; Rodentia; Heteromyidae. The transcript has 2 exons. The record is from RefSeq and is a predicted model, not a curated record.